GUCACUUGUCUUCCUUUUGGCUAAGAUCAAGUAUAGUAUCUGUUCUUAUCAGUUUAAUGGUAGGGGACUAUAGCACCCCAGUUACACCAAUAGAUGGAUCAUCCAGACAGAAAAUCAAU
Molecule: small nuclear RNA, 119 nt
Filed under: Canis lupus familiaris (dog)
Lineage: Eukaryota; Metazoa; Chordata; Mammalia; Carnivora; Canidae
Also listed under: 2 other names
Description: U2 spliceosomal RNA (multiple genes)
Rfam family: U2 spliceosomal RNA
About the family: U2 is a small nuclear RNA (snRNA) component of the spliceosome (involved in pre-mRNA splicing).
Source: Rfam by way of RNAcentral